This is a long non-coding RNA of Cyprinus carpio carpio, 1042 nucleotides long. NCBI's taxonomy places the organism in Eukaryota, Metazoa, Chordata, Actinopteri, Cypriniformes, Cyprinidae. The record is from Ensembl.
CUCAGUAGUGCCUUUGUGUUUCUCCUGCAGGAGAACCGUCAGUGGGGCCCUUCCAGUCCCUGCACGCAGAGUAAAGAAGGUAAGUAAUUCUGAUGAAUUGGGUGAGGUGCGUACCUGACGCCGUUCGCCACGAGAUUCUGGGUCCACGGUUGGAAACACCUAAAAGGUCCACAGGUAAGUAUGCAGGUGAAUAUAUGCAAGGGCGAUGCACUGGUAUUUCACUCGGGGCGUACAGGUAAGUAUGCAGAAGGACAACUGGGUCUUUACUUUGGACGUACAGGUGAGUAUACAGGGGCAACUGGAGCUUGACUUUGGGCAUACAGGUAAGUAUACAAGGGCAAUACACUGGCUCUUAGCUUGAGGCGUACAGAGGGGUAUACAGGUAAGUAUACAAGGGCAAUACGCUGGCUCUUAGCUUGAGGCGUACAGAUGGGUAUACAGGGGCAACUGGAGCUUGACUUUAGGCAUACAGGUAAGUAUACAAGGGCAAUACGCUGGCUCUUAGCUUGAGGCGUACAGAUGGGCAUACAGGGGCAACUGGAGCUUUGCUCUGGGCAUGCAGGUAAGUAUACAAGGGCAAUACGCUGGCUCUUAGCUUGAGGCGUACAGAUGGGCAUACAGGGGCAACUGGAGCUUUGCUCUGGGCAUGCAGGUGGAUAUACAAUGACAAUACUGAAUGGAUACAACUCACAGACCCUCGAAGAGGUGGACGUCAGGCUUUAGCCCUUUUCAGCUCGGGAGUCUAGAGAAGAUGUAUAUGUCACGACAACUGUGGUCUUCUUCACCAGGGCAGACUUCCCAGACCAACACUCAACACGGUCACCUCCAACCGUGGAAACACUCCCACGACGACUCAGAGCCUCAAGCUCAGACCUGUAGGACUAGUAACAGACAGACAGAGUUCCUUCACAAAUUUACUUAGCUUCAGUGAAUAUAUGGAGAAAGACACACCACCUCUCGAAUUUGACCAAGAGUGGAUAGAAGUACAGAUUGAAGUCGCUGCACGUUGGGCCUUCCACGGCCUCAGCUGGUGCCACCACGC